This is a long non-coding RNA of Aphidius gifuensis, 866 nucleotides long. RefSeq lists it as uncharacterized. The record is from RefSeq and is a predicted model, not a curated record. Lineage: Eukaryota; Metazoa; Arthropoda; Insecta; Hymenoptera; Braconidae. The transcript is spliced from 3 exons.
AACAAUAUAAAUAUAUGAGUAAAUAUUGUUUAUUGAUGACAUAGUUCAGUAAAAAAAAAUCCCAAAAUGUACUCAUGAUUCUUGACAACAUGUAAAAAAGAUUCAAGAGUUGCUUGUCAAUAUGGUCCUGAAAAAUGUUAGCAAGAAAUUCAGAACAUCAUGACAAAUAUAUAUACAAAACAUCCACGGAAAAUAUCUAAGGUUCAGAAGAGACUGAUUAUCACUGAUAAUAUAUUAGUUAAUUUUUCGUUUUUAUUAAUUUCAAUAAUGGAGGAAUUAAAUCAACAUUUGAAUUCUGUCAAAAUACCUAAGGGUGAUGUUAAAAUUUACAAGGAUGAAUGUGUAUUUCCAUUUGAUACACCGGAAUGACCAAAUGGAUUAUUCAUCAGUUUGAAAACAUUUCUUGGUUUCAGUCGUGACUUUGUUAAAGACUACUACAAAAAAACUGGAAAUGCGAUUUUUUUAAAUAUCAAAAGAACCAAACAAAUUUGUCUCAAUGAAUCUUUAUUAUAUUUAUUUAUCAAUCAAUAAAUAAUAAUAAUUAUUGAUAAAUUAAUUUUUUAAUAUUUUUUAAGGCACAAAUUAAUCAAAAUAAUGAUGGACUAGCUGAAAAAAUAACAAAGCUAGCUAUUGGUACACCAGGUGGUUUUAUACCAGAUGAAAAAAAAUAUACUUAUGAUAAAACUUAUGAAAUAAUAAUAUUACCAAAUUUUACAAGUAUCAAGUAUCCAUCAGUUGAUUUACCAGAACAGGUAUAAAUAAAUAACGCUAAUAAUAAUAUACGAAUUGAAAUAUAAAUAUAAUGUCCGCGCGCUGUCUCUCAUGAAAGUGUUUAUCUAUAUAUAGUUGAGCGGCACGCAAGUGCG